Capsicum annuum is the source of this 1455-nucleotide RNA transcript. It is a transcript of the gene named eyes absent homolog, with no coding region annotated. The transcript is spliced from 7 exons. NCBI's taxonomy places the organism in Eukaryota, Viridiplantae, Streptophyta, Magnoliopsida, Solanales, Solanaceae. The record is from RefSeq and is a predicted model, not a curated record.
CCUGCCUUCUUCCAACUUUGUACUUUGUCGUAUCAAAAAUUAUCAGUCAAAAUUGCCAAUAACAAAACAGCUAAAAAAAUUCUCUGAACUAAUUGAAGUUUGGAAUUCCUCAACAAUUUUAUAGCUACUCUUAGGUUAUACAUACAUUUGUUUCACCUGUCAUCAGGAGAUUUGUUAAAUUUUCAUCCAUUGGUUUCUGCUGGAAUUAUAUGGAUCGGAAAAUGAAUGUAUAUAUCUGGGACAUGGAUGAAACCCUCAUAUUGUUGAAGUCGUUAAUAAAUGGGACAUAUGCUGAGGCAUUCAAUGGAUCCAAGAAUGUACAUAGUGGUGUAGAAAUUGGUACGAUGUGGGAGAAUCAUAUUCUUAAGAUAUGUGAUGACCACUUCUUUUACAAGCAGGUUGAAAAUUGCAAUAUGCCAUAUCUAGAUGUCAUGAAACAAUAUGAUGAUGGUCGAGAUCUCACUGACUAUGACUUCAAUAAAGACGGCUUUGGUCCCCCAAAUGAUGAUCUUAACAAAAAGAGAUUAGCUUACCGUCAUCGGGUCGUAGCACAAAAGUACAAAAAGGGGUUACAUAGUAUUCUUGACCAAGACAUGAUUAAAUUGUGGAUCGAGCUUUAUGACGUCACUGAUAGUUAUACUGAUUUGUGGUUCUCAGCAGCUAGGACUUGCUUGGAGCAGUGUGCAGUUGGGAAUCGAGAUUUGGCCACCUCUACUGUUUCUACCAAUGAUGCAGGAGAUACUAUAUUCCAGCGUGUGAAUAUCUUGGUGACUUCCGGAUCGUUGAUACCCAGCUUAGUUAAAUGCUUGCUCUUUCGCCUGGAUGAUUUAUUCCCUAGCGAAAACGUUUACAGCUCAUGGGAAGUGGGCAAGCUCCAAUGCUUCUCAUGGAUAAAGGAGCGGUUCAGUGGGCCAAACGUGCAGUUUUGUGUUAUUGGAGAUGGAUGGGAAGAAUGUAACGCAGCAGAAAGUAUGAGAUGGCCAUUUGUCCAAAUUGACCCGCGGCCUAGCAGUUUACAUCGGUUUCCAGGCUUAACACCAAAAGAUCUGGGCCACUACAUCUCGGUUGUGUAUGGCGAUUGUGAUGAAAGUGAUGAUGAUAAACUAACUCCUCCUGACCAUUGAUCAUGUAAAUAUGUAGUAGCUUCUUGGAAGACUUCAAUUCAUGCAUCAAUAGCUUUUUCACCAACAAGAUAGUUUGACAUUAAAAGAUCAAGUUGUGGUUCAUUUCGUGCCCUAAAAUGAUGAACGGGAAAAGUAGAUGUGCUGGUCUUUUUCAAAACAAUUGAACCAUGUUUGAGCUAUUGGAUAUUCAUGAUCAAUCGGCUCAAAUAAAUUUUAUAUUAUGGUCAUUUUAGCUUAGGUAGUUUACAUACGGUUCCUAUACCACAUUGAUAUAAGUCAUAUACCAUAUUGAUACAGUUCGUAACAAAAAUAAAGCAGCAAAUUUAUGAAU